Molecule: ribosomal RNA, 207 nt
Filed under: uncultured bacterium
Lineage: Bacteria
Description: partial 16S ribosomal RNA
Rfam family: Bacterial small subunit ribosomal RNA
Source: RNAcentral
CGGAUUGUAGCCUGNAACCCGGCUACAUGAAGCUGGAAUCGCUAGUAAUCGCAGAUCAGAAUGCUGCGGUGAAUACGUUCCCGGGUCUUGUACACACCGCCCGUCACACCAUGGGAGCCGGGAAUGCCCGAAGUCGGUGACCCAACCGUAAGGAGGGAGCCGCCGAAGGCAGGCCUGGUAACUGGGGUGAAGUCGUAACAAGGUAAC